GAUGUUAGCGGCGGACGGGUGAGUAACACGUGGGUAACCUGCCUGUAAGACUGGGAUAACUCCGGGAAACCGGAGCUAAUACCGGAUAGUUCCUUGAACCGCAUGGUUCAAGGAUGAAAGACGGUUUCGGCUGUCACUUACAGAUGGACCCGCGGCGCAUUAGCUAGUUGGUGGGGUAAUGGCUCACCAAGGCGACGAUGCGUAGCCGACCUGAGAGGGUGAUCGGCCACACUGGGACUGAGACACGGCCCAGACUCCUACGGGAGGCAGCAGUAGGGAAUCUUCCGCAAUGGACGAAAGUCUGACGGAGCAACGCCGCGUGAGUGAUGAAGGUUUUCGGAUCGUAAAGCUCUGUUGUUAGGGAAGAACAAGUGCGAGAGUAACUGCUCGCACCUUGACGGUACCUAACCAGAAAGCCACGGCUAACUACGUGCCAGCAGCCGCGGUAAUACGUAGGUGGCAAGCGUUGUCCGGAAUUAUUGGGCGUAAAGGGCUCGCAGGCGGUUUCUUAAGUCUGAUGUGAAAGCCCCCGGCUCAACCGGGGAGGGUCAUUGGAAACUGGGAAACUUGAGUGCAGAAGAGGAGAGUGGAAUUCCACGUGUAGCGGUGAAAUGCGUAGAGAUGUGGAGGAACACCAGUGGCGAAGGCGACUCUCUGGUCUGUAACUGACGCUGANGAGCGAAAGCGUGGGGAGCGAACAGGAUUA
This 706-nucleotide ribosomal RNA is filed under the name marine bacterium SIMO-4415. Its description in RNAcentral is "bacterial SSU rRNA". It matches the Rfam family "Bacterial small subunit ribosomal RNA", at positions 88 to 780 of the family's 1533-position model. The record is from RNAcentral.